Molecule: long non-coding RNA, 1113 nt
Filed under: Rosa chinensis
Lineage: Eukaryota; Viridiplantae; Streptophyta; Magnoliopsida; Rosales; Rosaceae
Description: sRNA RchiOBHm_Chr6g0309261
Source: RNAcentral
CCACACCACCAGCCUUUUUCACCACCAGACUCUUUUGAACCCUCGGAGUUCCCCCUCGGUCACAUACCACAAUCUUCCCGGCAACCUUUGCCGGAAUCAGACUGCCGGGACUGCACAGAUCACCACUCGAACUGCUCACAUUGCGAGCAUCAACAAGUGGAAUCAAUCCACUAGACAAGGCCGUUCCCCUGUAUAGAGAUAUACCUCUAAAUUUCUUUGCAUUUCCAAGGCUGACAUAAGCCGGGAAGUCCCUGUCCAAUGUUCCAGCGCCCACAGUAGUUAUCCAAGGCGCAACAUUGGACAAGCUUCCCGCUUCAGGUCCACCAUUUCCAGCCGAACACGAUACUAGAAUACCCUGCGCCGCGGCAGAGAAAGCUCCAAUGGCAACUGUGUCUCUAUAAUAAUCAGACUGCGAUCCACCAAUAGACAAAGACAAAACAUCAACCCCAUCCUCAACCGCCUUCUCCAUUGCAGCUAUGAUAUCAGAACCGAAACACCCUCCAAGCCAGCAAGCCUUAUAUGUGGCCACUCGAGCUUGCGGCGCCAUACCCCUAGCUGUCCCUGGAGCAUAACCAAGGAAGCUAGCUCCUGUAACAACAGACCCCGCCGCAGUUGUUGAGGUGUGAGUUCCAUGGCCAUCGUCAUCUCUCGGUGACUUUGAUUCUACGUUUUCAUCAACAGGUCCAAACGCUGCUUCGUACCCGUUUGAGAAAAACGCAGCACCAAUCAGCUUUUUGUUGCAGCUCGAAGAGUUGAAUGUCUUUCCCUGCUGGCACGACCCUUUCCAGCCAGUCGGCACUGGUCCAAAACCAGUGUCGUCGUAGCUUUUGAGCUCCGGCCACACGCCGGUGUCCACUACUCCGAUGAUCACCUCACCCAUCUUAUCCGAAGCCGGUAACACAGCUUCGCUUUUGCGUAGUCCUAGAAACUCCGGAGUCCUAGUUGUGUGAAGCUCGUACCUCCUUUCCGGCAGGACAGAGAGAAUUCCUGGCUGCUUUUCGAGCUGCUCAGCUUCCUCGGCAGUUAGCCUUGUUGAGUAGCCAUGGAUGACAGUCUUGUACGUGUAAAGCAUGUCAGCUGAAUCGGAGACCGCUUUCAACGACGAGCCGUACC